This is a long non-coding RNA of Vidua macroura (Pin-tailed whydah), 350 nucleotides long. RefSeq lists it as uncharacterized. The record is from RefSeq and is a predicted model, not a curated record. Lineage: Eukaryota; Metazoa; Chordata; Aves; Passeriformes; Viduidae. The transcript is spliced from 3 exons.
CAGUCUGGGGUGACGCUGCAGCCCAGGAGCUGGGCAGUCAGGUCACUGAAACCCCAUUAUCUGGGAUUGCAAUUCCUGCUGCCUCAGACGGGAGACAGGACCUGGUGUGCAAAGGGAGGCUGCCCAGGAGCCCCAAUUUCCUUCUGGCCGCUUUGCCUUGGGCAGAGCCAAGGUGGGCUCUGGAAAGGCUUGCAAGCUUUCAGCAGAUCCUACAGAAGUUUGGAGCUGAAAAACCUUGUGAGCCCAGGGCCUGAACCCCUAGGAAGAUUAAAAUUCCCUACCCCUACUUCGAAAGGCACUGAGAGUCUGUCUGGCAAGACAGGUUCAUUAACAAAUUAAUAGAAUAAUCA